Taeniopygia guttata (zebra finch) is the source of this 323-nucleotide non-coding RNA. The record is from RefSeq and is a predicted model, not a curated record. NCBI's taxonomy places the organism in Eukaryota, Metazoa, Chordata, Aves, Passeriformes, Estrildidae.
GAGCACGCACGUCCGGACGUAACAAACACACCACACUGAAACGGAGAUCUCUCUCUUUCACCUCUGUACAGCCGAGGUCCAGAAUCCCUCCGGGGAAAAUGCCCCGCGGCGCCUGAGGGUGUCUGCCCUCCACCGAACCCACAGGUGAGCAGAGAAGUCCUGCCGCGGUCGCCAAAUGAAGCGAUAUUCGGACUAAAUAAAUAGACUCCACAACUCGAGGUAGUUAUGAAGUGGGUAUGUAUGGGAGCGCUCGGCACAAGUGAGAUCACUCUCCGAAGUCUUGUGCCCCGAGCUGAAGUUUGCCCCCUGACUUUAUUCACAAA